Molecule: ribosomal RNA, 497 nt
Filed under: uncultured bacterium
Lineage: Bacteria
Description: partial 16S ribosomal RNA
Rfam family: Bacterial small subunit ribosomal RNA
Source: RNAcentral
GAUGAACGCUGGCGGCGUGCCUAAUACGUGCAAGUCGAGCGAACAGACGAGGAGCUUGCUCCUCUGACGUUAGCGGCGGACGGGUGAGUAACACGUGGAUAACCUACCUAUAAGACUGGGAUAACUUCGGGAAACCGGAGCUAAUACCGGAUAAUAUAUUGAACCGCAUGGUUCAAUAGUGAAAGACGGUUUUGCUGUCACUUAUAGAUGGAUCCGCGCCGCAUUAGCUAGUUGGUAAGGUAACGGCUUACCAAGGCGACGAUGCGUAGCCGACCUGAGAGGGUGAUCGGCCACACUGGAACUGAGACACGGUCCAGACUCCUACGGGAGGCAGCAGUAGGGAAUCUUCCGCAAUGGGCGAAAGCUUGACGGAGCAACGCCGCGUGAGUGAUGAAGGUCUUCGGAUCGUAAAACUCUGUUAUUAGGGAAGAACAAAUGUGUAAGUAACUAUGCACGUCUUGACGGUACCUAAUCAGAAAGCCACGGCUAACUACGUG